CUUCAGCAGAGAAUGGACAGCCUACUAUUUUUGCCACUCGUACCCGCCCCCUUUCCAUGUUGCGCACUUUCCCUGCUCGUACCCCUCGCCCCUACUUCGAUGCAAAGGAUUUUAGUUUGCCCUAUUUAUCUGCUUGAGACACCUGCAGAAUCUGUUUGCAUUCAUCGGAACCCAGCGUUUGGUCUUGUGGCGUUAGAUGUAUUGCAUGUUUUGCUUGUUGGUUGCAGCUGAGGGUUGCUGGCAUCUGACUCACAGUCUUCUCACCUUCUCCGUCUGAUCCUGAAACUACCUAAUGACACCACCGGGAGGCCGAGCGAGCACACAGCACACUCCCACAGAGGCGCCGCCGCCAUGGAGCCAAGGAACACGACGGGAAGUCCGCCGCGGCUAACAUCAUUCCACAAGACCGUGCAGUGGCGUGAGCGUGAGGAGUGUCUGAUGCUGGUGCUGGGAAGGAGGCCUGUCUACUCACGCUACUUACGCUUGUCUACUUCCUCUUGGGGGCCCUCAUCACCCUUAACCACUGGAUAGGGAGAUCUUCCAUAUUGCCUCUCUGACAUGCCUGCAUAUGACCAAGGACUUCCCUUGGCCCCUCUACCCAGGCCGUAUGACCAUCAAUUCAACCCCCCAACCCAUGCUCCUACGGGGGUCACUGGAGGGGCAUCUGUAGGCCAUAAUGGCGAACGUCCGGAUGGGGGUCUGUAUGUGGGCUGCAGUUGGAGAGCUCCUGGCAUAAUUCAGGGCUGGAACAGAACGGCUGUUGGGGGUGCGGCCUGACGACAGGAUCUGUGAGGAGUUUGGGGAGAUGCUUCAGCGGGCAGAGAAUGCACAGGUGCACACACACACAAAACACAACACACACACACACACACACACACACACACACACACACACACACACACACACACACACACACACGCUCAAACAUUAGCCAAUAUUUUUAUUUUUACUUUUUAUUCUCUUCUGGUCACUUUUGAUGUUGCAUGCAUAUUACGUCAUGCAUGUCUGUCUCUCUAUCUCUCUUUGUGUGUGUGUGUGUGUGCACGUGUGCGCGCAUUGAUAGCUACUGUGUUGUACUAUAAUGGGAACUUUAACCUGAGUGUAUGUGAAACUCCAUCUCUGUGGAAGAUUACUGUUCCUGAGUCACAUGAGUCUUGUGUGUGUGUGUGUGUGUGUGUGUGUGUGUGUGUGUGUGUGUGUGUGUGUGUGUUAGAGAGAGAUAUAGAGAACCAUCCACAGGGUUGGGCAGGAUGAUCCGAUCCUCCCACAGUCAUGUGUUUUCCAGUCCUAGGACAUGACAUCUAUGACACAGUCUUGUAGUUUUAUAAAUGUAUCCUAGUUUUUUAAGUGUUCUAUGUUUUUUUAUUUACCUAAAAAAAUGAUAAUUUAUCCAAAACUCAACAAAUUUCAUCUCAUAAAUAUUGUAAAAGGUUGAGGAAAUGCAUAGCAGAGCAUAGCAAAUGUUUGACAAUACUGUGACCAGGAAACACCUGCUCAGGAGAAAAUAGUUCAUUUGUCAGACUGAGCGGAUGUCCUACAGGAAAGGUAUCACAUGGCGUUGGGCAUGUAGGGGGACAUACGUGGACAUAGUUUCCAUUCCUUCUGUGAACAGUGCACUUGUUGUAGCCUUAUUAAGAGAACGGGGACGAGAGAGGAUGUUGUUACUUCCUGGGGAUAAUAUGACAUGGGUGCAAAG
Alosa alosa (allis shad) is the source of this 1696-nucleotide long non-coding RNA. RefSeq lists it as uncharacterized. NCBI's taxonomy places the organism in Eukaryota, Metazoa, Chordata, Actinopteri, Clupeiformes, Clupeidae. The record is from RefSeq and is a predicted model, not a curated record. The transcript is spliced from 5 exons.